Molecule: ribosomal RNA, 861 nt
Filed under: uncultured bacterium
Lineage: Bacteria
Description: bacterial SSU rRNA
Rfam family: Bacterial small subunit ribosomal RNA
Source: RNAcentral
AGGGUUUGAUUCUGGCUCAGAACGAACGCUGGCGGCAGGCCUAAUACAUGCAAGUCGAGCGCGCCCUUCGGGGUGAGCGGCGGACGGGUGAGUAACGCGUGGGAAUAUGCCCUUCUCUAAGGAAUAGCCUCUGGAAACGGAGAGUAAUACCUUAUACGCCCUUCGGGGGAAAGAUUUAUCGGAGAAGGAUUAGCCCGCGUUAGAUUAGGUAGUUGGUGGGGUAAUGGCCUACCAAGCCUACGAUCUAUAGCUGGUUUGAGAGGAUGAUCAGCCACACUGGGACUGAGACACGGCCCAGACUCCUACGGGAGGCAGCAGUAGGGAAUCUUAGACAAUGGGGGCAACCCUGAUCUAGCCAUGCCGCGUGUGUGAUGAAGGCCCUAGGGUCGUAAAGCACUUUCGCCAGAGAUGAUAAUGACAGUAUCUGGUAAAGAAACCCCGGCUAACUCCGUGCCAGCAGCCGCGGUAAUACGGAGGGGGUUAGCGUUGUUCGGAAUUACUGGGCGUAAAGCGCACGUAGGCGGAUUAGUAAGUUAGAGGUGAAAUCCCAGGGCUCAACCCUGGAACUGCCUUUAAUACUGCUAGUCUUGAGUUCGAGAGAGGUAAGUGGAAUUCCGAGUGUAGAGGUGAAAUUCGUAGAUAUUCGGAGGAACACCAGUGGCGAAGGCGGCUUACUGGCUCGAUACUGACGCUGAGGUGCGAAAGUGUGGGGAGCAAACAGGAUUAGAUACCCUGGUAGUCCACACCGUAAACGAUGAAUGCCAGACGUCAGCAAGUAUACUUGUUGGUGUCACACCUAACGGAUUAAGCAUUCCGCCUGGGGAGUACGGUCGCAAGAUUAAAACUCAAAGGAAUUGACGG